This 253-nucleotide ribosomal RNA is filed under the name uncultured bacterium. Its description in RNAcentral is "partial 16S ribosomal RNA". It matches the Rfam family "Bacterial small subunit ribosomal RNA", at positions 524 to 776 of the family's 1533-position model. The record is from RNAcentral.
UACGGGGGGGGCAAGCGUUGUUCGGAAUUACUGGGCGUAAAGCGCGCGCAGGCGGCUAUCCAAGUCAGUGGUGAAAGCCCGGAGCUCAACUCCGGAACUGCCAUUGAAACUGUUUAGCUUGAGUAUGAGAGAGGUGAGUGGAAUUCCCAGUGUAGAGGUGAAAUUCGUAGAUAUUGGGAAGAACACCGGUGGCGAAGGCGGCUCACUGGCUCAUUACUGACGCUCAGGCGCGACAGCGUGGGGAUCAAACAGG